GGCAGCUGGUCGAGGACGAUGCCGCCUUCGUAGGCCGGCACGAACAGUGAGUCGUUGAUAUGCAGUUCGAGAUCGUAUUUGCGG
RNAcentral lists this transfer RNA (84 nucleotides) under Alistipes finegoldii. RNAcentral describes it as "tRNA-Thr". Lineage: Bacteria; Pseudomonadati; Bacteroidota; Bacteroidia; Bacteroidales; Rikenellaceae. The record is from RNAcentral.